This 500-nucleotide ribosomal RNA is filed under the name uncultured bacterium. RNAcentral describes it as "partial 16S ribosomal RNA". It matches the Rfam family "Bacterial small subunit ribosomal RNA", at positions 30 to 523 of the family's 1533-position model. The record is from RNAcentral.
AUUGAACGCUGGCGGCAUGCCUUACACAUGCAAGUCGAACGGCAGCACGGGAGCAAUCCUGGUGGCGAGUGGCGAACGGGUGAGUAAAGUAUCGGAACGUGCCCAGUCGUGGGGGAUAACGUAGCGAAAGUUACGCUAAUACCGCAUACGAUCUAUGGAUGAAAGCGGGGGAUCGCAAGACCUCGCGCGAUUGGAGCGGCCGAUAUCAGAUUAGGUAGUUGGUGGGGUAAAGGCUCACCAAGCCGACGAUCUGUAGCUGGUCUGAGAGGACGACCAGCCACACUGGGACUGAGACACGGCCCAGACUCCUACGGGAGGCAGCAGUGGGGAAUUUUGGACGAUGGGCGAAAGCCUGAUCCAGCCAUGCCGCGUGCAGGAUGAAGGCCUUCGGGUUGCAAACUGCUUUUGUACGGAACGAAAAGGUUUGGCCUAAUAAGCUGAGCUCAUGACGGUACCGUAAGAAUAAGCACCGGCUAACUACGUGCCAGCAGCCGCUGUAA